GCCUUUUAUUUAUAUGAGAUUUUGUAUCUGCGAAUAAAAAGAGGAGAGGGAAGUAAAAAAAACAAAAAAAUCGGAAAAAGUUUGAAAAAGAAAAUUAUCUUUAUUAUUUUUUUUUGUUUUUUUUUUUUGCGUUGAAUUGGGAUGGCACAGGUUCAGGUGCAGCAGCAGCAGCCACAGGGUGGUGUGAAUAAUGCUGGUGGUGU
This 203-nucleotide long non-coding RNA is filed under the name Nicotiana benthamiana. RNAcentral's name for it is "long non-coding RNA (NBEN_LNC000099)". The record is from RNAcentral. Lineage: Eukaryota; Viridiplantae; Streptophyta; Magnoliopsida; Solanales; Solanaceae.